This 325-nucleotide ribosomal RNA is filed under the name uncultured eukaryote. RNAcentral describes it as "partial 18S ribosomal RNA". It matches the Rfam family "Eukaryotic small subunit ribosomal RNA", at positions 1470 to 1796 of the family's 1831-position model. The record is from RNAcentral.
CCCUUAGAUGUUCUGGGCUGCACGCGCGCUACACUGAAGCUAUCAACACGUUUUCCCUCCCUGAGAAGGGCGGGUAACCUUUUGAAUCAGCUUCGUGGUAGGGAUCGGGGCUUGCAAUUGUUCCCCGUGAACCAGGAAUUCCUAGUAGACGCGAGUCAUAAGCUCGCAUCGAUUAAGUCCCUGCCCUUUGUACACACCGCCCGUCGCUACUACCGAUUGAAUGGUCCGGUGAAAUCUUGGGAUUUUGUUUUGUUUGCAUUUAUUUGUAUCGAGACGAGAGAACUUGAGUAAACCUUACCAUUUAGAGGAAGGUGAAGUCGUAACA